AGUUGCUAGUUCCUAAGAACCUCACCUCGCGUGUGAAGACAAUAUACCUAGAAGACAAGGUAUAUAAGGCAAAGGGGGGAGUUUUACCUUGCGCGCGUUGCACUUUCAGUUCCGUUUUGGCUGUUGUCCAUACCCUCUUUCUCAUCCCAUUCAUGUAGCACGUGUGUAGUAGCCGUGUAGAGCUGCCAAGUAACAUGUAAUAAACUGAGCAAAAUGUAAACAUUAUAGAAAUUCAGAAAUUCCAAUUUUUUUGAACCGAUCGGGUGGGGUGCUGCGCGUCGUUGCAAAGUAAAUAAAACAAAUUUGGUAACGCCCUUCUACAGAAAGACUAUAAUAGGUACAAGUUAUCCGCCCUGAUGUUGCGUCUCUUUAUGGAUUGAACAAAAUAGAUCAUCGAACAGCUAGCGGAACUAUAUGACAAAACUUAUCUCCUUUCAUAUUCAGUGGGUUUAGUGGAAUAGGAUUAUUUGUUGAACCAUUCCUUGGCGUCUGACAGAUAUAGGACCCUAUUGAUGGCCACUUUACGUUUGUUGAUGAGUAUAUGUAUAAAGCUCCUAGCAUAUGAGUCCAAUUCAUUUAUCUCUGAUACUUAUGAUAAUAGUUUUUAUUUCUUAAGUCCCUAUCAUAUCAGGCUUGGCCAAUAUGAUGGCCAUUUUUGAAUGUUUUGUACAGUCUCAUUUACUAAAUGCGUUCCGAUAAUUGCCAUUUCGAGUGCCACAUG
Drosophila pseudoobscura is the source of this 721-nucleotide long non-coding RNA. RefSeq lists it as uncharacterized. NCBI's taxonomy places the organism in Eukaryota, Metazoa, Arthropoda, Insecta, Diptera, Drosophilidae. The record is from RefSeq and is a predicted model, not a curated record. The transcript is spliced from 2 exons.